Molecule: ribosomal RNA, 1835 nt
Filed under: Sinorhizobium medicae WSM244
Lineage: Bacteria; Pseudomonadati; Pseudomonadota; Alphaproteobacteria; Hyphomicrobiales; Rhizobiaceae
Description: bacterial LSU rRNA
Rfam family: Bacterial large subunit ribosomal RNA
Source: RNAcentral
CGGCAGACACACGGCGGGUGCUAACGUCCGUCGUGAAGAGGGCAACAACCCUGACCUCCAGCUAAGGUCCCCAAGUCAUGGCUAAGUGGGAAAGGAUGUGAGGAUCCCAAAACAACCAGGAUGUUGGCUUAGAAGCAGCCAUCAUUUAAAGAAAGCGUAACAGCUCACUGGUCUAAAUAAGGGUCUUUGCGCCGAAAAUGUAACGGGGCUAAAGCCAUGCACCGAAGCUGAGGCUUGUAGCAUUCCUCGGAGUGCUGCAGGGGUAGCGGAGCGUUCCGUAAGCCUGUGAAGGGAUACCCGUGAGGGGUCCUGGAGGUAUCGGAAGUGCGAAUGUUGACAUGAGUAACGAUAAAGAGGGUGAGAGACCCUCUCGCCGAAAGACCAAGGGUUCCUGCUUAAAGUUAAUCUGAGCAGGGUUAGCCGGCCCCUAAGACGAGGCGGACACGCGUAGUCGAUGGGAACCACGUUAAUAUUCGUGGGCCUGGUGGUAGUGACGGAUUGCUUAACUUGUUCGGACUUAAUGGAUUGUCCGGGCGGGGACGCGGUUCCAGGAAAUAGCUCCACCGUAUAGACCGUACCCGAAACCGACACAGGUGGUCAGGUAGAGUAUACCAAGGCGCUUGAGAGAACUAUGCUGAAGGAACUCGGCAAAUUGCACGCGUAACUUCGGAAGAAGCGUGACCCUUUUUGACGCAAGUCAGAUGGGGUGGCACAGACCAGGGGGUAGCGACUGUUUAUCAAAAACACAGGGCUCUGCGAAGUCGCAAGACGACGUAUAGGGUCUGACGCCUGCCCGGUGCUGGAAGGUUAAGAGGAGGGGUGCAAGCUCUGAAUCGAAGCCCCAGUAAACGGCGGCCGUAACUAUAACGGUCCUAAGGUAGCGAAAUUCCUUGUCGGGUAAGUUCCGACCUGCACGAAUGGCGUAACGACUUCCCCGCUGUCUCCAGCAUAGACUCAGUGAAAUUGAAUUCCCCGUGAAGAUGCGGGGUUCCUGCGGUCAGACGGAAAGACCCCGUGCACCUUUACUAUAGCUUUACACUGGCAUUCGUGUCGGCAUGUGUAGGAUAGGUGGUAGGCUUUGAAGCGGGGACGCCAGUUCUCGUGGAGCCAUCCUUGAAAUACCACCCUUAUCGUCAUGGAUGUCUAACCGCGGUCCGUUAUCCGGAUCCGGGACAGUGUAUGGUGGGUAGUUUGACUGGGGCGGUCGCCUCCGAAAGAGUAACGGAGGCGCGCGAUGGUGGGCUCAGACCGGUCGGAAAUCGGUCGUCGAGUGCAAUGGCAUAAGCCCGCCUGACUGCGAGACUGACAAGUCGAGCAGAGACGAAAGUCGGUCAUAGUGAUCCGGUGGUCCCGCGUGGAAGGGCCAUCGCUCAACGGAUAAAAGGUACGCCGGGGAUAACAGGCUGAUGACCCCCAAGAGUCCAUAUCGACGGGGUUGUUUGGCACCUCGAUGUCGGCUCAUCGCAUCCUGGGGCUGGAGCAGGUCCCAAGGGUUUGGCUGUUCGCCAAUUAAAGCGGUACGUGAGCUGGGUUCAGAACGUCGUGAGACAGUUCGGUCCCUAUCUGCCGUGGGUGUAGGAAUAUUGACAGGAUCUGUCCCUAGUACGAGAGGACCGGGAUGGACAUAUCUCUGGUGGACCUGUUGUCCUGCCAAGGGCAUAGCAGGGUAGCUAUAUAUGGAAGGGAUAACCGCUGAAGGCAUCUAAGCGGGAAACCCACCUGAAAACGAGUAUUCCCUUGAGAACCGUGGAAGACGACCACGUUGAUAGGCCGGGUGUGGAAGUGCGGCAACGCAUGAAGCUUACCGGUACUAAUCGUUCGAUUGGCUUGAUCGU